AAGUGGUAGGAGAGCGUUCUAUUUGCGUCGAAGGUAUACCGGUAAGGAGUGCUGGAGCGAAUAGAAGUGAGCAUGCAGGCAUGAGUAGCGAUAAUUAAUGUGAGAAUCAUUAACGCCGUAAACCCAAGGUUUCCUACGCGAUGCUCGUCAUCGUAGGGUUAGUCGGGUCCUAAGUCGAGUCCGAAAGGGGUAGACGAUGGCAAAUUGGUUAAUAUUCCAAUACCAACAUUAGUGUGCGAUGGAAGGACGCUUAGGGCUAAGGGGGCUAGCGGAUGGAAGUGCUAGUCUAAGGUCGUAGGAGGUUAUACAGGCAAAUCCGUAUAACAAUACUCCGAGAACUGAAAGGCUUUUUGAAGUCUUCGGAUGGAUAGAAGAACCCCUGAUGCCAUCGAGCCAAGAAAAGUUUCUAAGUUUAGCUAAUGUUGCCCGUACCGUAAACCGACACAGGUGGGUGGGAUGAGUAUUCUAAGGCGCGUGGAAGAACUCUCUUUAAGGAACUCUGCAAAAUAGCACCGUAUCUUCGGUAUAAGGUGUGGUUCGCUUCGUAUUAGGAUUUACUCCGAAAGCGAAGAAACUUACAACAAAGAGUCCCUCCCGACUGUUUACCAAAAACACAGCACUCUGCUAACUCGUAAGAGGAUGUAUAGGGUGUGACGCCUGCCCGGUGCUCGAAGGUUAAUUGAUGGGGUUAGCAUUAGCGAAGCUCUUGAUCGAAGCCCGAGUAAACGGCGGCCGUAACUAUAACGGUCCUAAGGUAGCGAAAUUCCUUGUCGGUUAAAUACCGACCUGCAUGAAUGGCGUAACGAGAUGGGAGCUGUCUCAAAGAGGGAUCCAGUGAAAUUGUAGUGGAGGUGAAAAUUCCUCCUACCCGCGGCAAGACGGAAAGACCCCGUGGACCUUUACUACAGCUUGACACUGCUAUUUGGAUAAGAAUGUGCAGGAUAGGUGGGAGGCUUUGAGUAUAUGACGCCAGUUGUAUAUGAGCCAUUGUUGAGAUACCACUCUUUCUUAUUUGGGUAGCUAACCAGCUUGAGUUAUCCUCAAGUGGGACAAUGUCUGGUGGGUAGUUUGACUGGGGCGGUCGCCUCCCAAAUAAUAACGGAGGCUUACAAAGGUUGGCUCAGAACGGUUGGAAAUCGUUCGUAGAGUAUAAAGGUAUAAGCCAGCUUAACUGCAAGACAUACAAGUCAAGCAGAGACGAAAGUCGGUCUUAGUGAUCCGGUGGUUCUGUGUGGAAGGGCCAUCGCUCAAAGGAUAAAAGGUACCCCGGGGAUAACAGGCUGAUCUCCCCCAAGAGCUCACAUCGACGGGGAGGUUUGGCACCUCGAUGUCGGCUCAUCGCAUCCUGGGGCUGGAGCAGGUCCCAAGGGUAUGGCUGUUCGCCAUUUAAAGCGGUACGCGAGCUGGGUUCAGAACGUCGUGAGACAGUUCGGUCCCUAUCUGCCGUGGGCGUAAGAAGAUUGAAGAGAUUUGACCCUAGUACGAGAGGACCGGGUUGAACAAACCACUGGUGUAGCUGUUGUUCUGCCAAGAGCAUCGCAGCGUAGCUAAGUUUGGAAAGGAUAAACGCUGAAAGCAUCUAAGCGUGAAGCCAACUCUAAGAUGAAUCUUCUCUAAGCUCUCUAGAAGACUACUAGUUUGAUAGGCUGGGUGUGUAAUGGAUGAAAGUCCUUUAGCUGACCAGUACUAAUAGAGCGUUUGGCUUAUCUUUAAUAAAGCAU
This 1721-nucleotide ribosomal RNA is filed under the name Campylobacter coli 59-2. Its description in RNAcentral is "bacterial LSU rRNA". It matches the Rfam family "Bacterial large subunit ribosomal RNA", at positions 1223 to 2925 of the family's 2925-position model. The record is from RNAcentral. Lineage: Bacteria; Pseudomonadati; Campylobacterota; Epsilonproteobacteria; Campylobacterales; Campylobacteraceae.